This 395-nucleotide ribosomal RNA is filed under the name uncultured bacterium. RNAcentral describes it as "partial 16S ribosomal RNA". It matches the Rfam family "Bacterial small subunit ribosomal RNA", at positions 523 to 918 of the family's 1533-position model. The record is from RNAcentral.
AUACGUAGGGUGCAAGCGUUAAUCGGAAUUACUGGGCGCAAAGCGUGCGCAGGCGGUUUUGUAAGACAGAGGUGAAAUCCCCGGGCUCAACCUGGGAACUGCCUUUGUGACUGCAAGGCUAGAGUAUGGCAGAGGGGGAUGGAAUUCCGCGUGUAGCAGUGAAAAGCGUAGAUAUGCGGAGGAACACCGAUGGCGAAGGCAAUCCCCUGGGCCUGUACUGACGCUCAUGCACGAAAGCGUGGAGAGCAAACAGGAUUAGAUACCCUGGUAGUCCACGCCCUAAACGAUGUCAACUGGUUGUUGGGUCUUCAUUGACUCAGUAACGAAGCUAACGCGUGAAGUUGACCGCCUGGGGAGUACGGCCGCAAGGUUGAAACUCAAAUGAAUUGACGGGG